AUUGAACGCUGGCGGCAGGCCUAACACAUGCAAGUCGAGCGGAUGAAGGGAGCUUGCUCCUGGAUUCAGCGGCGGACGGGUGAGUAAUGCCUAGGAAUCUGCCUGGUAGUGGGGGAUAACGUCCGGAAACGGGCGCUAAUACCGCAUACGUCCUGAGGGAGAAAGUGGGGGGUCUUCGGACCUCACGCUAUCAGAUGAGCCUAGGUCGGAUUAGCUAGUUGGUGGGGUAAAGGCCUACCAAGGCGACGAUCCGUAACUGGUCUGAGAGGAUGAUCAGUCACACUGGGACUGAGACACGGUCCAGACUCCUACGGGAGGCAGCAGUGGGGAAUAUUGGACAAUGGGCGAAAGCCUGAUCCAGCCAUGCCGCGUGUGUGAAUAAGGUCUUCGGAUUGUAAAGCACUUUAAGUUGGGAGGAAGGGCAGUAAGUUAAUACCUCGCUGUUUUGACGUUACCAACAGAAUAAGCACCGGCUAACUUCGUG
RNAcentral lists this ribosomal RNA (484 nucleotides) under uncultured bacterium. RNAcentral's name for it is "partial 16S ribosomal RNA". It matches the Rfam family "Bacterial small subunit ribosomal RNA", at positions 30 to 507 of the family's 1533-position model. The record is from RNAcentral.